GGGUUGUGAGGUUAAGCGACUAAGCGUACACGGUGGAUGCCCUGGCAGUCAGAGGCGAUGAAGGACGUGCUAAUCUGCGAAAAGCGCCGGCGAGGUGAUAUGAACCCUUGACCCGGCGAUGUCCGAAUGGGGAAACCCAGUGCAAUCCGUUGCACUAUCGUUAACUGAAUACAUAGGUUAACGAGGCGAACCGGGGGAACUGAAACAUCUAAGUACCCCGAGGAAAAGAAAUCAACCGAGAUUCCCCCAGUAGCGGCGAGCGAACGGGGAGCAGCCCGGAGUCUGAAUCAGCUUGUGUGUUAGUGGAACGGUCUGGAAAGUCCGACGGUACAGGGUGAUAGUCCCGUACACGAAAGCACACAUGCUGUGAACUCGAAGAGUAGGGCGGGACACGUGGUAUCCUGUCUGAAUAUGGGGGGACCAUCCUCCAAGGCUAAAUACUCCUGACUGACCGAUAGUGAACCAGUACCGUGAGGGAAAGGCGAAAAGAACCCCGGCGAGGGGAGUGAAAAAGAACCUGAAACCGUGUACGUACAAGCAGUGGGAGCCUCUUUAUGGGGUGACUGCGUACCUUUUGUAUAAUGGGUCAGCGACUUAUAUUCUGUAGCAAGGUUAACCGUAUAGGGGAGCCGAAGGGAAACCGAGUCUUAACUGGGCGUUAAGUUGCAGGGUAUAGACCCGAAACCCGGUGAUCUAGCCAUGGGCAGGUUGAAGGUUGGGUAACACUAACUGGAGGACCGAACCGACUAAUGUUGAAAAAUUAGCGGAUGACCUGUGGCUGGGGGUGAAAGGCCAAUCAAACCGGGAGAUAGCUGGUUCUCCCCGAAAGCUAUUUAGGUAGCGCCUCGUGAACUCAUCUUCGGGGGUAGAGCACUGUUUCGGCUAGGGGGCCAUCCCGGCUUACCAACCCGAUGCAAACUACGAAUACCGAAGAAUGUUAUCACGGGAGACACACGGCGGGUGCUAACGUCCGUCGUGAAGAGGGAAACAACCCAGACCGCCAGCUAAGGUCCCAAAGUCAUGGUUAAGUGGGAAACGAUGUGGGAAGGCACAGACAGCCAGGAUGUUGGCUUAGAAGCAGCCAUCAUUUAAAGAAAGCGUAAUAGCUCACUGGUCGAGUCGGCCUGCGCGGAAGAUGUAACGGGGCUAAACCAUGCACCGAAGCUGCGGCAGCGACGCUUAUGCGUUGUUGGGUAGGGGAGCGUUCUGUAAGCCGUUGAAGGUGUGCUGUGAGGCAUGCUGGAGGUAUCAGAAGUGCGAAUGCUGACAUAAGUAACGAUAAAGCGGGUGAAAAGCCCGCUCGCCGGAAGACCAAGGGUUCCUGUCCAACGUUAAUCGGGGCAGGGUGAGUCGACCCCUAAGGCGAGGCCGAAAGGCGUAGUCGAUGGGAAACAGGUUAAUAUUCCUGUACUUGGUGUUACUGCGAAGGGGGGACGGAGAAGGCUAUGUCAGCCGGGCGACGGUUGUCCCGGUUUAAGCAUGUAGGCGGAGGUUCCAGGUAAAUCCGGUACCUUAUUAACGCUGAGGUGUGAUGACGAGGCACUACGGUGCUGAAGUGAUAAAUGCCCUGCUUCCAGGAAAAGCCUCUAAGCAUCAGGUAACACGAAAUCGUACCCCAAACCGACACAGGUGGUCAGGUAGAGAAUACCAAGGCGCUUGAGAGAACUCGGGUGAAGGAACUAGGCAAAAUGGUGCCGUAACUUCGGGAGAAGGCACGCUGAUGUGUAGGUGAAGCCCCUGCGGGUGGAGCUGAAAUCAGUCGAAGAUACCAGCUGGCUGCAACUGUUUAUUAAAAACACAGCACUGUGCAAACACGAAAGUGGACGUAUACGGUGUGACGCCUGCCCGGUGCCGGAAGGUUAAUUGAUGGGGUUAGCGGCAACGCGAAGCUCUUGAUCGAAGCCCCGGUAAACGGCGGCCGUAACUAUAACGGUCCUAAGGUAGCGAAAUUCCUUGUCGGGUAAGUUCCGACCUGCACGAAUGGCGUAAUGAUGGCCAGGCUGUCUCCACCCGAGACUCAGUGAAAUUGAACUCGCUGUGAAGAUGCAGUGUACCCGCGGCAAGACGGAAAGACCCCGUGAACCUUUACUAUAGCUUGACACUGAACACUGGUCCUUGAUGUGUAGGAUAGGUGGGAGGCUUUGAAGCGUGGACGCCAGUCUGCGUGGAGCCAACCUUGAAAUACCACCCUUUAAUGGCUGGUGUUCUAACGUAGACCCGUAAUCCGGGUUGCGGACAGUGUCUGGUGGGUAGUUUGACUGGGGCGGUCUCCUCCCAAAGAGUAACGGAGGAGCACGAAGGUUGGCUAAUCCUGGUCGGACAUCAGGAGGUUAGUGCAAUGGCAUAAGCCAGCUUGACUGCGAGCGUGACGGCGCGAGCAGGUGCGAAAGCAGGUCAUAGUGAUCCGGUGGUUCUGAAUGGAAGGGCCAUCGCUCAACGGAUAAAAGGUACUCCGGGGAUAACAGGCUGAUACCGCCCAAGAGUUCAUAUCGACGGCGGUGUUUGGCACCUCGAUGUCGGCUCAUCACAUCCUGGGGCUGAAGUAGGUCCCAAGGGUAUGGCUGUUCGCCAUUUAAAGUGGUACGCGAGCUGGGUUUAGAACGUCGUGAGACAGUUCGGUCCCUAUCUGCCGUGGGCGCUGGAGAAUUGAGGGGGGCUGCUCCUAGUACGAGAGGACCGGAGUGGACGCAUCACUGGUGUUCGGGUUGUCAUGCCAAUGGCACUGCCCGGUAGCUAAAUGCGGAAGAGAUAAGUGCUGAAAGCAUCUAAGCACGAAACUUGCCCCGAGAUGAGUUCUCCCUGAGACUUUAAGUCUCCUGAAGGAACGUUGAAGACGACGACGUUGAUAGGUCGGGUGUGUAAGCGCAGCGAUGCGUUGAGCUAACCGAUACUAAUGAACCGUGAGGCUUAACCUUACAACGCCGAAGGUGUUU
This 2933-nucleotide ribosomal RNA is filed under the name Enterobacter cloacae. RNAcentral's name for it is "bacterial LSU rRNA". It matches the Rfam family "Bacterial large subunit ribosomal RNA". The record is from RNAcentral. RNAcentral also lists the same sequence under 1 other name. Lineage: Bacteria; Pseudomonadati; Pseudomonadota; Gammaproteobacteria; Enterobacterales; Enterobacteriaceae.